GCUAUGAAGGCUGAGUAGUGAAGGCAUUAGACUUGAAAUCCAAUAGGGGUUUCUUGUGCAGGUUCAAAUCCUGCUCACUGCA
Molecule: transfer RNA, 82 nt
Filed under: Alligator mississippiensis (American alligator)
Lineage: Eukaryota; Metazoa; Chordata; Crocodylia; Alligatoridae
Rfam family: tRNA
About the family: Transfer RNA (tRNA) molecules are approximately 80 nucleotides in length. Their secondary structure includes four short double-helical elements and three loops (D, anti-codon, and T loops). Further hydrogen bonds mediate the characteristic L-shaped molecular structure. tRNAs have two regions of fundamental functional importance: the anti-codon, which is responsible for specific mRNA codon recognition, and the 3' end, to which the tRNAs corresponding amino acid is attached (by aminoacyl-tRNA synthetases). tRNAs cope with the degeneracy of the genetic code in two manners: having more than one tRNA (with a specific anti-codon) for a particular amino acid; and 'wobble' base-pairing, i.e. permitting non-standard base-pairing at the 3rd anti-codon position.
Source: Rfam by way of RNAcentral